CCUACGGGGUGCUGCAGUGAGGAAUAUUGGUCAAUGGACGAGAGUCUGAACCAGCCAAGUAGCGUGAAGGAUGACUGCCCUAUGGGUUGUAAACUUCUUUUAUAUGGGAAUAAAAUGUUCCACGUGUGGGAUUUUGUAUGUACCAUAUGAAUAAGGAUCGGCUAACUCCGUGCCAGCAGCCGCGGUAAUACGGAGGAUCCGAGCGUUAUCCGGAUUUAUUGGGUUUAAAGGGAGCGUAGGUGGAUUGUUAAGUCAGUUGUGAAAGUUUGCGGCUCAACCGUAAAAUUGCAGUUGAAACUGGCAGUCGUGAGUACAGUAGAGGUGGGCGGAAUUCGUGGUGUAGCGGUGAAAUGCUUAGAUAUCACGAAGAACUCCGAUUGCGAAGGCAGCUCACUGGACUGCAACUGACACUGAGGCUCGAAAGUGUGGGUAUCAAACAGGAUUAGAUACCCUUGUAGUC
Molecule: ribosomal RNA, 460 nt
Filed under: uncultured bacterium
Lineage: Bacteria
Description: partial 16S ribosomal RNA
Rfam family: Bacterial small subunit ribosomal RNA
Source: RNAcentral